This is a long non-coding RNA of Macaca mulatta (Rhesus monkey), 1883 nucleotides long. Lineage: Eukaryota; Metazoa; Chordata; Mammalia; Primates; Cercopithecidae. The record is from Ensembl.
GGGAGGACGCACCCACGGCGCUGGGAGCUGAAGAAGCGGAGCGCGGCGUGUGGCGCGUGGCGAGUCGGGGAGAGACUGGUCCUGCUCGCUCGGAGACCCUCCUCACCCGCGCCCGCGGCGACCAGGUCACGGCCCUUUCGUUUCCUGACCCUGCUUAAUGACAGCGAAGUGAAAACAUCUACCAAACGAAGGGUGAAAAUGAUCUAGGGCUGGAGUCCGCCAAAAGCCAAUUUAAGGCUUAACAUUGCAGACCGUUUGUCUUUACAAAAGCUUCAAAGACUGGGCUGCAGCUCCCAGUUAUCCCCACUUUGUCAAGCCAUGCAUCUGAAUGUUCGUGGGGUUGUGUGCAUCGAAUCAGCAAGAGCAAGGCAAGAACUCAAGAAAUAGUUAUCUUUUUUUAUCCCCCCCUUACAAGUCACAGGUUCAGAGGAUCAUCUUUCUCCCACAUUAGCAAAACCUAUUUGCAUUUUUCAGUGAGGUUCUUUACCCCACCAGUGCCCUAAAAUAGCAAACAGUUCCCUGUUCAAAAGCAAUAGUAAAGAAAUUCACUGAAGAGUUUAAUUGCCUGGGGACAGCUGCAGUAGUCGCAUCAUCGUCUCUUAUUAAACUGUUGCAGAAAUAUUCGGUCUAGCCCAUGUAUUUUCAACUAAAUAGCACUGCUUACGCAGUUGGUGAUAUCACGGAAGUAGCAAUAAACCUUGGUUAUCUUUUUUUUUGUUUGUUUUUGAGAGUCUCGCUCCGUCGCCCAGGCUGGAGUGCAAUGGCGCGACCUCUGCUCACCACAACCUCCGCCUCCCGGAUUCAAGCGAUUCCCCUGCCGUCCCCUGCGCCCCGAGACAAGGUCUUGCUGUGUUGCCCAGGCUGGAGUGCAUUGGCUGUUAACAGGCACAAUCAUGCCACACUGCAGCUUUCAAACUGUUGGGCACAAGUAAUCCUCCUGCCUCAACCUCCCAUUAACUGUACCAUUCAGUGGUUCCAGGCGCAGUGGUUCAUGCCUGUAAUCCCAGCACUUUGGGAGGCCGAGGCGGGCGGAUCACCUGAGAUCAGUAGUUCAAGACCAGCCUGACCAACUUGGUGAAACCGUCUGUACUGAAAAUACAAAAUUAGACAGGCGUGGUGGUGCAUUCCUGUAAUCCCAGCUACUCAGGAGGCUGAAACAGGAGAAUCACUUGGACCUGGGAGGCGGAGGCUGCAAUGAGCCAAGAUCGCACCACUGCACUCCAGCCUGGACAAGACUAAAACUCCUCUCAAAAAGAAAAGUUUCAAUUUUUACAGAAGUCAACGUUAGAAAAAUAUUAAUGCCCCAAAAUGUGUGGUAAACUAUAACUGAUUGUACAAUUUGGCAUUUUAGGACAUCAGCACUAAGAAAAUAAGAGAUUUUUGUAUUAGCAGCCUCUCCUAUGCUCCCAAAUAGGUUACUGAAUCUUUAUAGUGGCUCAAACCUUACACAGGAACUGAGAAUUUUGCCUAGAAAUUUAUUCCAAUACAUGAUCAUUCAUUUGUAUAGAAAUAACAAUAGAAGAGAUGCAAGGUUUUGUACUAAAAGUACACCUUUAUUAAAACAGUUUUGGUUGGAUUAUUUUAAAGACAAAAAUCCUAUCAAAAGAAAUAUGACAGAAAAGCUAAAUCAGUGGUUUCACCAAUUAAGGAAACUACUCAUAUGCAGAAGAGCAGGGCCUGUUCAGCUCCCCACAUGGCACUUCAGGGUUAGUGGGCAUGUGCCUUCAGCGCACCUCUCCUUCUCUCUCCAUCACCUUGUUUUUGAAAUGUUUUAAUUAAUGAAGUCCUUUAAGUAUAAAUGUAAAUAUAUGGAGCAGAAGAAUGUGGAUUAUAAAAACAGAGCUUUUGCAGAGACAAAAGUAAAACUGAUGCACAUUUUCGGG